RNAcentral lists this ribosomal RNA (331 nucleotides) under Engaeus lyelli. RNAcentral describes it as "partial 12S ribosomal RNA". The record is from RNAcentral. Lineage: Eukaryota; Metazoa; Arthropoda; Malacostraca; Decapoda; Parastacidae.
CUUUAAAUUUAAAGAAUUUGGCGGUAUUUUAGUCUAGUUAGAGGAACCUGUUUCGUAAACGACAAAACACGAAGUAUCUUACUAGCUUUUGUUUUCAGUUUGUAUACCGCCAUUAUUAGAUAACUUUUAUAGAAUUAAGUCAUUGAAAAUAAGAAUGAGUUAAGUAUAUUAGGUCAAGGUGCAGCUCAUGGGUUAGAGAGAAUGGGUUACAAUAAAAUUUAUUUAUACGGAUUUGGUAAGGGAAUCUUACUAUUAAGGAGGAUUUAAUUGUAAUGAAAAAGGUUAACAAGGUUUGAUGAUAUUAGUACUAAAUUAUGUACACAUACGCCCG